CGUAGCCAGCCUCUGCCGCCAUUGAUUUGAUCUCUUGAGUCGCGAUUCACUUUCUCCCUUUCUCGAAAAACUCCUCGUUUCUCCCUCUACACCCUUCAUCUUUAGGAGGAUUCACUGCUUUGCUGGACAUUCGAAGAACAGCCAGACCUGGUGAUAAUUCUCUCAUGUAUAGCAUCUUGUUUAGAAACACUAAGGAUAAGAACAUGUCACCUUCAUCUAGAGGUUUGCUUUUUUGGAAAGUACAAUAGGAUGAGUGGAGUCGGAAGAAGUGAUAUGAAAAGGUCCACGAUAGAGAAGAAUGUGUACUUCCCUAGAAAUUAAUAUGCAUAAUCAGGGAGAAAAAGAAUUCUCAAGAUCAAAUCAAUGAUUUAGCAAAAUAAAAGAUACCUAGUUUUAGAGCAUUGCCCCCUGGAGUGAAGUUUGGACCUGGAUGGUAGGAGAGAACGAUGCGACACCACCAAAGCCACUAAAAUGACACAACACCAAUGGCAAAAGUGUUUGGUUGGUGACUAAGAAAAGGGGAAAACAAAAUAAUUUGCAAACUAAAAAAGUGGAGAAAGAGACAAAUCAAUGAUAGCUGUGAAAUCUAAUAUCAUCGAGAA
Long non-coding RNA from Vitis riparia (riverbank grape), 602 nucleotides. RefSeq lists it as uncharacterized. The transcript has 5 exons. The record is from RefSeq and is a predicted model, not a curated record. Lineage: Eukaryota; Viridiplantae; Streptophyta; Magnoliopsida; Vitales; Vitaceae.